CUAGAACGAACGCUGGCGGCGCGUCUUAAGCAUGCAAGUCGGACGGCGAGGGCACCGUUCGGGUGUCCGAGAGUGGCGAACGGGUGAGUAACACGUAAGUGAUCUGCCCUGCAGGUUGGGGAUAGCCUGUGGAAACACAGGGUAAUACCGGAUGAGAUGUCAAUGAUUGAACUAUGGCAUGAAAGUGGCUACGGCCACGCUGCAGGAUGAGCUUGCGGCUCAUUAGCUAGGUUGGGGUGUAACGGACCACCAAGGCGACGAUGAGUAGCCGGCCUGAGAGGUGAACGGCCACAGUUGGGACUGAGACACCGGCCCAGACUCCGUACGGGAGGCAGCAGCUAAGAAUUAUUCCGACAAGUGGGGGGAACCCUGACGGAGCGACGCCGCGUGAACGAUGAAGGCCAGAGAUGUUGUAAAGUUCUUUUAUCGCUGAAGAAUAACCGGUGCAGGGAAUGGCACCGGGAUGACGUUAGGCGAUGAAUAAGCCACGGCUAACUACGUGCCAGCAGCGGC
RNAcentral lists this ribosomal RNA (513 nucleotides) under uncultured bacterium. RNAcentral describes it as "bacterial SSU rRNA". It matches the Rfam family "Bacterial small subunit ribosomal RNA", at positions 24 to 518 of the family's 1533-position model. The record is from RNAcentral.